RNAcentral lists this ribosomal RNA (229 nucleotides) under uncultured bacterium. Its description in RNAcentral is "partial 16S ribosomal RNA". It matches the Rfam family "Bacterial small subunit ribosomal RNA", at positions 15 to 236 of the family's 1533-position model. The record is from RNAcentral.
GAUCCUGGCUCAGGAUGAACGCUGGCGGCGUGCUUAACACAUUCAAGUCGAACGAAGAAGAUUGGAGCUUGCUCCGAUCGGAUUAGUGGCGGACGGGUGAGUAACGCGUGAGUAACCUGCCUGCGAGAGGGGGAUAACAACGGGAAACUGUUGCUAAUACCGCAUAACGCAUCGAUUCCGCAUGGGAGAUGAUGCCGAAAAGGGAAACCGCUUGCAGAUGGACUCGCGU